Molecule: long non-coding RNA, 640 nt
Filed under: Equus caballus (horse)
Lineage: Eukaryota; Metazoa; Chordata; Mammalia; Perissodactyla; Equidae
Description: lncRNA (ENSECAG00000045024.1)
Source: RNAcentral
AGGUGAGGACGCUGAGACUCAGAGAGGUGAAGUGACUUGUCCAACGUCCCUGGGCUCCUUCUUGGAACCCAGAUCAUCCUCUCCCCUUCUAGUGCUCUUUCCACUUUAAACAGAGAUGGGACGGACCUUCUCAGGACUGUCUGAAGACAAUGCUUAAGUAUCCUUAGCAGGAAGCUGGCAUCUUCCAGAAAGAAGUGACUUUAAGUAAGGAGACGCAUCAGAUACAGCUCAUGGCACAGAGCCUGCCACAGAGCGAGCUGAGUCAAGGGCUCAGCUCACGGCAGGGACCUGGCCCGGAACAGAGCUCAGUACCCGGUAGGUGCCCGAGAGAGAAGUCAGUGUCCAGAACCCAGCGAAGGAUCUGGGGCUGCGAGGGCACUUGGACCCGGCGGAGCUGUCAGAUCAUACCUGGGCAUCCCAUCUCACCCCUCCCCAGACCUGAGAGCUGGAUGCCCUCCCGACCUCACCCUCAUACAGAGGUGGAAACAUGGCGCCCAGAGAGGCAUCGUGGGACCGUUGGAAUUUCUGCCUCGAGACCAUCUGGCCUAAUUACCCCCAUGGCUGGCACAGGGCCUGAAGCUGUUCUUGAAUGAGUCAAAGGAGCUUGUGGGUCCUCAGAAGACCCCUCUCCCAUGCCACC